This 502-nucleotide ribosomal RNA is filed under the name uncultured bacterium. RNAcentral's name for it is "bacterial SSU rRNA". It matches the Rfam family "Bacterial small subunit ribosomal RNA", at positions 28 to 533 of the family's 1533-position model. The record is from RNAcentral.
GACGAACGCUGGCGGCGUGCCUAACACAUGCAAGUCGAGCGGGGUUGAGGCGAGAGGUAACUCGAACUUCUAUCUAGCGGCGGACGGGUGAGUAACGCGUGGGCAACCUGCCUCAAGGUUUGGGAUAACAGCCCGAAAGGGCUGCUAAUACCGGAUAUGCCUAUGGCCUCGCAUGGGGCUAUGAGCAAAGGGGAAACCCGCCUUGAGAUGGGCCCGCGUCCCAUCAGCUAGUUGGUGAGGUAACAGCUCACCAAGGCGACGACGGGUAGCCGGUCUGAGAGGGUGACCGGCCACACUGGGACUGAGACACGGCCCAGACUCCUACGGGGGGCAGCAGUGGGGGAUCUUGCACAAUGGGCGAAAGCCUGAUGCAGCGACGCCGCGUGAGCGAAGAAGGCCUCGGGUUGUAAAGCUCUGUCUGGAGGGACGAACAAAAUGACGGUACCUCCGGAGGAGCCACGGCUAACUACGUGCCAGCAGCCGCGGUAAUAUCACGUGUACG